This is an unclassified non-coding RNA of Chlorocebus sabaeus (green monkey), 313 nucleotides long. Its record names the gene 7SK. It matches the Rfam family "7SK RNA". From Rfam's summary of the family: 7SK was discovered as an abundant small nuclear RNA in the mid-70s but a possible function has only recently been suggested. Two independent studies have found that 7SK RNA binds the CDK9/cyclin T complex (known as elongation factor P-TEFb). Lineage: Eukaryota; Metazoa; Chordata; Mammalia; Primates; Cercopithecidae. The record is from Ensembl.
UGGUGUGAGGGCGAUCUGGCUGCAACAUCCGUCACCCCAUUGAUCGCCAGGGUUGAUUCAGCUGAUCUGGCUUGCUAGGCAGGAGUCCCCUUCCUCCUUCACCACUCCAUGUGCAUCCCUCCCAAAGCUAUGUGCUUGGUCAAAGAGUAUGACCAUCCCCAAUAGAGGAGGACCGAUCUUCAGUCAAGGGCAUACGAGUAGCUGUGCUCCCCUGUUAGAACCUCCAAGAAAGCUGUCAAGAUGCACUGUAUUAAAGGAUGCAAGAGCAAAGAUACUUAUUCUUAGGUCCAGUGACAUACUGCUACCCUACCAA